Molecule: ribosomal RNA, 443 nt
Filed under: uncultured bacterium
Lineage: Bacteria
Description: bacterial SSU rRNA
Rfam family: Bacterial small subunit ribosomal RNA
Source: RNAcentral
ACUCCUACGGGAGGCAGCAGUGGGGAAUAUUGCACAAUGGGGGAAACCCUGAUGCAGCAACGCCGCGUGAGUGAUGAAGGUCUUCGGAUUGUAAAACUCUGUCUUUGGGGACGAUAAUGACGGUACCCAAGGAGGAAGCCACGGCUAACUACGUGCCAGCAGCCGCGGUAAUACGUAGGUGGCAAGCGUUGUCCGGAUUUACUGGGCGUAAAGGGAGCGUAGGUGGAUAUUUAAGUGGGAUGUGAAAUACUCGGGCUUAACCUGAGUGCUGCAUUCCAAACUGGAUAUCUAGAGUGCAGGAGAGGAAAGUAGAAUUCCUAGUGUAGCGGUGAAAUGCGUAGAGAUUAGGAAGAAUACCAGUGGCGAAGGCGACUUUCUGGACUGUAACUGACACUGAGGCUCGAAAGCGUGGGGAGCAAACAGGAUUAGAUACCCUGGUAGUC